GAUGAAGAACGUAGCGAAAUGCGAUAAGUAGUGUGAAUUGCAGAAUUCAGUGAAUCAUCGAAUCUUUGAACGCACAUUGCGCCCCUUGGUAUUCCAUGGGGCAUGCCUGUUCGAGCGUCAUCUACACCCUCAAGCUCUGCUUGGUGUUGGGCGUCUGUCCCGCCUUUGCGCGUGGACUCGCCCCAAAUUCAUUAGCAGCGGUCCUUGCCUCCUCUCGCGCAGCACAUUUGCGCUUCUCGAGGUGCGCGGGCCGCGUCCACGAAGCAACUAUUACCGUCUUUGACCUCGGAUCAGGUAGGGAUACUCGCUGAACUUAAGCAUAUCAAUAAGCGGAGGA
RNAcentral lists this unclassified non-coding RNA (337 nucleotides) under soil metagenome. Its description in RNAcentral is "partial contains 5.8S ribosomal RNA, internal transcribed spacer 2, and large subunit ribosomal RNA". The stretch from base 1 to 120 matches the Rfam family "5.8S ribosomal RNA", at positions 35 to 154 of the family's 154-position model. The record is from RNAcentral.